AAACUGAAGAGUUUGAUCCUGGCUCAGAUUGAACGCUGGCGGCAUGCCUAACACAUGCAAGUCGAACGGUAACGCGAAGAGCUUGCUCUUUGGCGACGAGUGGCGGACGGGUGAGUAAUACUUAGGAAUCUACCCAGUAGCGGGGGACAACUCGGGGAAACUCGAGCUAAUACCGCAUACGCCCUACGGGGGAAAGCAGGGGAUCUUCGGACCUUGCACUAUUGGAUGAGCCUAAGUCGGAUUAGCUAGUUGGUAGGGUAAAAGCCUACCAAGGCGACGAUCCGUAGCUGGUCUGAGAGGACGAUCAGCCACACUGGGACUGAGACACGGCCCAGACUCCUACGGGAGGCAGCAGUGGG
This 359-nucleotide ribosomal RNA is filed under the name Gammaproteobacteria bacterium. Its description in RNAcentral is "bacterial SSU rRNA". It matches the Rfam family "Bacterial small subunit ribosomal RNA", at positions 1 to 358 of the family's 1533-position model. Lineage: Bacteria; Pseudomonadati; Pseudomonadota; Gammaproteobacteria. The record is from RNAcentral.